RNAcentral lists this ribosomal RNA (429 nucleotides) under Gemmatimonadota bacterium. Its description in RNAcentral is "Gemmatimonadetes bacterium partial 16S ribosomal RNA". It matches the Rfam family "Bacterial small subunit ribosomal RNA", at positions 355 to 776 of the family's 1533-position model. The record is from RNAcentral. Lineage: Bacteria; Pseudomonadati; Gemmatimonadota.
UAGGGAAUCUUCGGCAAUGGACGAAAGUCUGACCGAGCAACGCCGCGUGAGUGAAGAAGGUUUUCGGAUCGUAAAACUCUGUUGUUAGAGAAGAACAAGGACGUUAGUAACUGAACGUCCCCUGACGGUAUCUAACCAGAAAGCCACGGCUAACUACGUGCCAGCAUCCGCGGUAAUACGUAGGUUGCAAGCGUUGUCCGGAUUUAUUGGGCGUAAAGCGAGCGCAGGCGGUUUCUUAAGUCUGAUGUGAAAGCCCCCGGCUCAACCGGGGAGGGUCAUUGGAAACUGGGAGACUUGAGUGCAGAAGAGGAGAGUGGAAUUCCAUGUGUAGCGGUGAAAUGCGUAGAUAUAUGGAGGAACACCAGUGGCGAAGGCGGCUCUCUGGUCUGUAACUGACGCUGAGGCUAGAAAGCGUGGGGAGCAAACAGG